GGAGCGGACGGUACCACAGGGGGGUGGUGGCGGGGAGGGUCCCCCUGCACCAGAGGGGAGGAGGGUGCUUGGCGAUGAGGCCCGAGGGGAUCCGGGGGCGAGGGGGUGGCUGUAGGAGAGCCCACGCGAGGGUGUUAGUGUUGGACGAAGCCCACCAUGGGGUGCCAGCCAAGCAGAGCAGCAGAAGGGUCCCGGGGUGGCGGUGGCCAGCCUGGGUCUGGCUCCCGCUGAGGGAGGCCGAGCGGUGGUUCAUAAAGAUCACAGAAUCACAGAAUCUUCUAGGUUGGAAGGGACCUUAAAGAUCAUCUUGUCCAACCGUCAACCAAACUGACAAAAAUAGACACCCACACAACAAACAAGGAGCAUCAUCACUAAACCAUACUUCCCAGCACUACAUCAACCCGUCUUUUGAACACCUCCAGGGAUGGUGCCUCAACCACCUCCCUAGGCAGCCCAUUCCAAUGUCUGAUAACCCUUUCAGUGAAAAAAUUUCUUCUGUAAAUUGGGAAGGAAAGUGGGUAGAAUUAUUUAAGUUGCACUUCCUUAGCAGCAUGGGAAUUGGCUACAGUAAAUCUCAAAAGAGUGACUGCAUUAUUGUUCUCCCGUCCAGGCUGAAUACCUAUUUAGGUUAAAAAUAGCUAGAAAUUGUAUCUUGCCAAGCUGUGGUGCUAGGUCUUUUUGUCUGCCUUAAGCAUUUCUCCAAGAGUAAAGGUCAAUAAUGAUCUAAGAAAGAUGUAUUUUAUGGUGAAUUUAAAUGCUUUUGAAAUGUAAUGUUGCAAAAGCUCUGCAUCAAUUAAAACAUUAUAUCUAAACUUUGUUCUUCUGAUUUCUGUCUAUUAAGUCAACAACACUUUACUAGGCGCUCUGUGGCAACACUUUGGAGCACCAUUUCUCCAAUUACAACUGAUAUUAGCGUAGCUGAUAAAGACAAUUAUGCCUGGAAAUAAUGAAUUGUGUUAACGUAGCCCAAGUUGUAUGCAUAUCUAGGCAUGCACCACCUUCCUGGCCUGCUGCUGUAGCUAAAGGAUCGUGGGCGUGGGUGUGCUCGGUUCCGUGUGUGCAACACCAGAGCGAGAACCAGAAGGAGCACCUGAGCCAAAGGAACAGGAUAGUGAAAACCAACAACGUAACUCCACUGGAAGAAGGCAUCCUGGCUGCUUGGCUGCAAAGCUGCUGUACAACCACGAUGCAAACCGAGCAUAUUCAGAGGGAGCCUCAGGCGUGGGAAGGGGAGCAGGUUUAUGUACCUGCAGAUAUUUUCUUUGCCUUAAGCUCACAGUGAAGCUGCAGUGGAAAAAGCAGAUGCUGGUUUUCCUCCCCAGCCUAAGAUGCUUCUCUGAACCUGAGCUAGAAGCACUCUGUCUAUUUGCUUGUGGUAUUUCCAGACCUGCUGAAGGCCUAGAAAGCGCAGCCGCUGAAACACACACACAAUUGCUUAUUCAGGCAGAGUUUGGUGUACUGGGAGACAAGUUGUUGGAAUAAACACAGCUGUGAUUUUUCCA
This 1502-nucleotide long non-coding RNA is filed under the name Calidris pugnax (ruff). RNAcentral describes it as "lncRNA (ENSCPUG00000007536.1)". Lineage: Eukaryota; Metazoa; Chordata; Aves; Charadriiformes; Scolopacidae. The record is from RNAcentral.